AAAGCACGAUUGUCUGUCUGAAACAAUUUGGGCCUGGGCGAGGAGACUGGUGGUGACACCAGGAUGCGAGCUCGGUCCCGUGCCUUGGCCGCCCACGGACCUUUCUUUCUGCGAGUCAUCGGCUGUCCAGUUCCCGUCUCUUUUAGGGGCGGAAAACGGGCCGAUCGUCUCUUCGGCCGCCAUUCAACGAUCAACUCAGAACUGGCACGGACCAGGGGAAUCCGACUGUCUAAUUAAAACAAAGCAUUGUGAUGGCCCUAACGGGCGUUGACGCAAUGUGAUUUCUGCCCAGUGCUCUGAAUGUCAACGUGAAGAAAUUCAAAAAAGCGCGGGUAAACGGCGGGAGUAACUAUGACUCUCAUAGAGGUCUGAAGUCCUAUAGAGGUCAGAAGUAAGAGAGUCCAAUAG
RNAcentral lists this unclassified non-coding RNA (408 nucleotides) under Cimex lectularius (bed bug). RNAcentral's name for it is "Eukaryotic large subunit ribosomal RNA". It matches the Rfam family "Eukaryotic large subunit ribosomal RNA", at positions 2025 to 2282 of the family's 3401-position model. The record is from Rfam by way of RNAcentral. Lineage: Eukaryota; Metazoa; Arthropoda; Insecta; Hemiptera; Cimicidae.